UACGAAGGGGGCUAGCGUUGUUCGGAUUUACUGGGCGUAAAGCGCGCGUAGGCGGGCGUUUAAGUCAGGGGUGAAAUCCCAGGGCUCAACCCUGGAACGGCCUUUGAUACUGGAUGCCUGGAGAUCGGGAGAGGUUGGUGGAAUUCCGAGUGUAGAGGUGAAAUUCGUAGAUAUUCGGAGGAACACCAGAAGCGAAGGCGGCCAACUGGCCCGAUACUGACGCUGAGGCGCGAAAGCGUGGGGAGCAAACAGG
This 253-nucleotide ribosomal RNA is filed under the name uncultured bacterium. Its description in RNAcentral is "partial 16S ribosomal RNA". It matches the Rfam family "Bacterial small subunit ribosomal RNA", at positions 524 to 776 of the family's 1533-position model. The record is from RNAcentral.